CCCUCAGCGCGCCGCUUGGCCCGUCUUUCUAAAUAUUAGUAUAAUAAAUAUAAAUGGCAUCGGAACGUGAGGGGGCAGGGGCCACGUGACCGCUCCACGAAAGCCACUUG
This 110-nucleotide long non-coding RNA is filed under the name Fukomys damarensis (Damara mole-rat). Its description in RNAcentral is "ST7 antisense RNA 1 conserved region 2 (ENSFDAG00000002483.1)". It matches the Rfam family "ST7 antisense RNA 1 conserved region 2". The record is from RNAcentral. Lineage: Eukaryota; Metazoa; Chordata; Mammalia; Rodentia; Bathyergidae.